GUGAAUCAUCAAAUUUUUGAACGCAAAUUGCACUCUCUGGCAUUCCGGAGAGUAUGCCUGUUUGAGGGUCAGUUUUAUCAAAAUCGGUGCGAUGCCUUUUGGGUGAUGCUCCGGAGUUUGGGUCAUCUUUACUCUUUUUUAAGUGACCUAAAAUCAACAUUCUUUUUUGCUCACUUUUGAGACGUACAUAAUUUUUUUUUAUUCGUCUACCCUGGUGGCACUUAUUUUAUUAGAUCG
Molecule: unclassified non-coding RNA, 237 nt
Filed under: Rhizophagus clarus
Lineage: Eukaryota; Fungi; Glomeromycota; Glomeromycetes; Glomerales; Glomeraceae
Description: partial contains 5.8S ribosomal RNA and internal transcribed spacer 2
Rfam family: 5.8S ribosomal RNA (bases 1-71)
Source: RNAcentral